Molecule: non-coding RNA, 79 nt
Organism: Budorcas taxicolor (takin)
Lineage: Eukaryota; Metazoa; Chordata; Mammalia; Artiodactyla; Bovidae
Source: the annotation of a RefSeq genome assembly
UCCUGGGGCCAAACUGGCUCAGAGGUUAAAGCGUCUGCCUGGAAUGCAGGAGACCCGGGUUCGAUCCCUGGGUUGGGAA